UUUAGAGUGGAUUCUACAGAGGCAUUGUGGGUCCAUUACCAGAUCCCUGACCUGACAAGCCCCUUGUGGAAAGUGCCUUUGGGCUGGUGCAGGAGGGCAGUGUUCUGUCAUGUCAGCAGCCGGUUUUGACAACCCGGUACAUCACACUACACCGUGAUGCACCACCAACACCGCACUUGCCUCUGGAGGGGUAUGACAUCAAGGAAACCCUGCUCGCUCAGACAGCCUGUGAUAUUUUCUCAAACCGCUGCGCUGAACAAGUUUCCAAAGAACAUGCUGUGUGACACAAUAAAUAUCCUUUAACCUGUUAACCUGUGGCUUCUGGAAGAAACUCGGGUGAGUCAGUCACUGCAAACACAUUUGUAUCAUCAAGUGUUUGUCAAAUGAAAAUGAUGUUUUUCUACACUUAGGAUAAUUUUCUAUGUUGCAGUGCAGUAAAGUGCAUGUUUCUUCUGUGUUCAAUCAUACAUGUUCUAAUUGUUAUAAACAGAAAAAAUCUUUUCUUACUUAACUGCUUGAUUCUUAACUUGUUUAACUGAAACAUGAUGAAAUGUCAUAGUAUUAUUUUUUUUAAAUGUCCUUGGCAGUGCAUGUGUCCGCAUUGUAACUUACUAAUAAAAAGUCCUGUGUGUACUUUGGUGUGUGUUUUAUGUUAUUUUAUUGCAAAUAAAUAAUAGUCAUUUGAUUUUACAGUUACACACAAUCUUAUAUCUCUGGCAUGGCAUGGCAUGCCAAGGCAAUAUCGGGUACAUGCAAUUUGAAACCUGACAUUCCAGAGCAAAGCAUGAAGCACACAGCACGUGGUCAACGUGACUCAUAUGGAGACUGACAACAUUACAAGGAAUAAAGGAAAAUUGAGGACUUAGCCACAGAAAAGACUUUUUCCUUUUUUGUUACAAUAACUCGAAAAGGUCAACUAUGAUUUUUAAAUUAAUAUCAUAGGUGUGAGUUUAGAGUUCAGAUUUUUUCUGCACAUUCUUUCUUUUUGUAUUUAAUUAUGAUGGUAAAUACAUUUUGCAACAUAUCUGCCUGCACUUGCACUUGCUCUUAAAGUAGGAACAGUUCACCUUUCCAGCUGUAUUUUUAAUACUGAUGAGUUUACUUUAAUUGUUAGCCUAUUGGUCAAAAUGUAUUGUUCUUCUGAUUCAUGUGUAAUGCUUUUCUCAAAUAAUAC
Molecule: long non-coding RNA, 1174 nt
Organism: Oreochromis aureus
Lineage: Eukaryota; Metazoa; Chordata; Actinopteri; Cichliformes; Cichlidae
Source: Ensembl